AAAAUUGCUUAAUGGUUUAUUUAAGUAUUAGAAAUAAAUUGCUUUUUUUACAUCGAUUACGGCAAAGCUACUUUGGGGACAGAAGUAACAAUCAGGAAGAAAGAGGAAUCGUAUAAAAAGGAACACAAAUAGCUUUCGGAAGUCUCGAGAAAUCCAAGGAAAUGAUAUCGAGAAAUGAUAUCAAAUUCCAAUAAUUAUCCAGAUAAUACUACCUUCUGCAAGAUUAUAUUCUCCUAGUACAAAAUGGAAGAUUUUGACGAAAAAUUUCUUCGAAAAUCCGAAAGUUUCAACUUGAAAAAAUUCCUGAAGUAUGACGUCAAGUUGCAAGAAUUAUCGAAAUCGUUCCAUCUUCUAUAUUAUUAUGUUUUCUUAAUACAAAAUUGCAAAAUCGACUGACAAAUUUUCCGAGAAGCCACAAAUUUCAGUUUCGAUGUAGAAUAAGUUACUUCUGUAAAGGGUUCUAUCAAAAAGGAGAUAAAUGAAUUUUAUUAAAAUAAAUACAUACUUUGUAUAGGGAACGAAAGGUUUAACAAAAAACAGAGUGACUAUAUAAUAUAUGUAAAUAAAAUUAUAAAUAAGAAUAUAAAUAAAAACAUUGUUAUGAUUGCUGCUUGCGAUCUAAAUCGCUGCAGCUUUGUUGGCGCUUGCACGUGUGUACCGACGAAGAACUAAUUAGUUCGAAGGACCACCCUCGUUCGGGCAAAAGGAAAACAUUGUAUGUGGUUGACUAUUUAAAUAGAACUAUUUACGGAAUACUGGGAGCUGCUCAGUAAUCGUGCCUAAUGUUGCGCGUUCUAACGACGAAAAGCCGGGAAAAAUGGCUUUUGACUUCUCCAUUUUACAGCCAAUUUCAAGGAGGGGUAAGAAUCGGGCACAAGCAAUAUCGUAUUUAAUGGACAUCGUUUUGGCAACCUUGGAGAAUUUCCACGAUUUCGUUAGUUUAUGGUCACCGAGGACUGUUACGGCUAGGUAUACGUAUACAAUGGGAAAAAACCGUUAAUUGUGAGGCCUAAGUUGCUGUAAACGCACAUGAAUAGCAGUUACUCGGAGACCCGAUGGCCAACUGUCGGUAAUUGGUAACACAGGAGUUUGUAACAAAGAAAUCUUAACGGUAACCUUGCCGACUCAAACAUAAAUUAUAAAUCUUUUAAGAAGUUUAAUGUCAAAGUAUCGAGAUCAAAUAAGCAGGUAAAAUUUUUAUAUAGGAUAGACAGGAUAACAUCAAUAGACAUUCACUUUUCAAGGGGGAUAGAAACUUAAACACUUAUAAAAUUGAACAUAUUUGUUGCCGUAAAUAUUUAUUGUAAAAAAUAUAGCAGUUUCGCAGGAAGAAUAAAGAUAGUACAAUUAAAAUGAUGCAAA
Long non-coding RNA from Bombus huntii, 1362 nucleotides. RefSeq lists it as uncharacterized. The transcript has 2 exons. The record is from RefSeq and is a predicted model, not a curated record. Lineage: Eukaryota; Metazoa; Arthropoda; Insecta; Hymenoptera; Apidae.